GAUGAACGCUGGCGGCGUGCCUAAUACAUGCAAGUCGAGCGAACGGACGAGAAGCUUGCUUUUCUGAUGUUAGCGGCGGACGGGUGAGUAACACGUGGAUAACCUACCUAUAAGACUGGGAUAACUUCGGGAAACCGGAGCUAAUACCGGAUAAUAUUUUGAACCGCAUGGUUCAAAAGUGAAAGACGGUCUUGCUGUCACUUAUAGAUGGAUCCGCGCUGCAUUAGCUUGUUGGUAAGGUAACGGCUUACCAAGGCAACGAUGCAUAGCCGACCUGAGAGGGUGAUCGGCCACACUGGAACUGAGACACGGUCCAGACUCCUACGGGAGGCAGCAGUAGGGAAUCUUCCGCAAUGGGCGAAAGCCUGACGGAGCAACGCCGCGUGAGUGAUGAAGGUCUUCGGAUCGUAAAACUCUGUUAUUAGGGAAGAACAUAUGUGUAAGUAACUGUGCACAUCUUGACGGUACCUAAUCAGAAAGCCACGGCUAACUACGUG
This 497-nucleotide ribosomal RNA is filed under the name uncultured bacterium. RNAcentral describes it as "partial 16S ribosomal RNA". It matches the Rfam family "Bacterial small subunit ribosomal RNA", at positions 28 to 507 of the family's 1533-position model. The record is from RNAcentral.